GGGUGGAGGAGGAAAUGGCAACCCACCAGUAUUCUUGCCUGGAGAAUCCCAUGGACAGAGGUGCCUGGCGGGCUACAGUGCAUAGGGUUGCAAAGAGUCGGACUUGACUGAGCGACUAAACCAACCAGAGACCUCCCUAGAAUCAUGUUUCCUAAAAUGGGUUGAAGCAGAUGCUGAAACUCAAAACCAGAGACCUUAAAUCUGUAGGAACUCAGCAGCCUUAGUGAAUGAUGAAACACCCACAGAGCAGAGAAAAACUGGAUGAACUGAGAGGCAGAUUCUUUAUCAUCUGAGCAACUAGGGAAGCCCCGAUUGGUUGGAAGAGAAGCCUAUUUGGUGAAGGGGAACAGGACUGAGGACAAAACCUAAUCAGGGAGGAAGACUGAACAGAAAAGCAGAGGUGCAGCCCUCAACGUGGCCUGGAGGAGUCAGCGCAUACACAGCCCAGCGCGUCCUCAGCCCUGGGUCCAGAGAAAUCUGUGGUGUGUGUUCCAUCCCACUUCUGAGAGC
Long non-coding RNA from Bos taurus (domestic cattle), 510 nucleotides. Lineage: Eukaryota; Metazoa; Chordata; Mammalia; Artiodactyla; Bovidae. The record is from Ensembl.